Cucurbita moschata (crookneck pumpkin) is the source of this 809-nucleotide long non-coding RNA. RefSeq lists it as uncharacterized. The record is from RefSeq and is a predicted model, not a curated record. NCBI's taxonomy places the organism in Eukaryota, Viridiplantae, Streptophyta, Magnoliopsida, Cucurbitales, Cucurbitaceae. The transcript has 5 exons.
GAAGAGAGAGAUUGUGGAUGACGAUUGCUGUUUGAUGGGACGGCGGCGAUCGGCUCCGCCGAUGAAGAAGGUGGACAAUAGAAGGCGGAGAUUCAACUGGAAAACUGUCCCAAUGCGUCAAACUGGCGGCCACGACAAUGAUCGGACUCCGCCUUUUCUCGGUUCCAACCGCCGUCUCACGAUCAGAACAAUGAUCCAUUCCAAGAAAGCCAAUUGCAGCGCCGUCAAUUUCCGAUCACAACAUCUCGUAGAGGCCUCGCUAUGAUUUCAUUUCUCGCUGCGAUGCCGUCUCUGUUUCUACCUGCUCCUGCCGCUGCUUUGAAUCUCGGCAUUUGUAAGCACGCUACGCAACAUUGUGUCGUUGAUUGCAGGAACGAAGGAUUGCUUGAAGGAGCAAUAGAAGAAGGCCUCCACGUUCCUCUUGGCGCCAAUUGAUGCCUCCAGAGAUAGCCUUCGCGCCGUUCUACUUUUGGUUUCUAAUGCGUUCGAUUACUCGAACAAGGACAUGGAGAAUGUUCGAAGAAUGCUCAUGUCUGUUGCAAGGCAUUGCGUUUUGAACGACAGGAAUUCCUUUGUUCAAUUUCAAGCUAGUUGCAGCCAAUGCGUUUGAUUACUCGAACAAGGAUAUGGAGAAUGUUCGAAGAAUGCUCAUGUCUGUUGCAAGGCAUUGCGUUUUGAAGGACAGGAAUUCCUUUGUUCAAUUUCAAGCAAGCACAGGAGUCGAGAUUGUCUUUAUUCGAUCGGUGGUAGCAGAGGCAAACCAGAAGCCUGCACCAAAUACAAGCGGCAGCAAGGUUUUCCAUCAUCAG